This 540-nucleotide ribosomal RNA is filed under the name uncultured bacterium. RNAcentral describes it as "partial 16S ribosomal RNA". The record is from RNAcentral.
ACGGCUACCUUGUUACGACUUAGCCCCAGUCACCGGUUUUACCCUAGGGCGCUCCUUGCGGUCACGCACUUCAGGCACUCCCGGCUUCCAUGGCUUGACGGGCGGUGUGUACAAGGCCCGGGAACGUAUUCACCGCGCCGUGGCUGAUGCGCGAUUACUAGCGAAUCCAGCUUCAUGGAGUCGGGUUGCAGACUCCAAUCCGAACUGAGACAGGAUUUCGGGUUCCGCUCCCUGUCGCCAGGUGGCUUCCCGCUGUGCCUGCCAUUGUAACACGUGUGUCGCCCCGGACGUAAGGGCCGUGCUGAUUUGACGUCAUCCCCGCCUUCCUCACAGCUUGCGCCGGCAGUCCCGACAGAGUGCCCAGCCUGACCUGAUGGCAACUGUCGGUGGGGGUUGCGCUCGUUAUGGCACUUAAGCCGACACCUCACGGCACGAGCUGACGACAACCAUGCAGCACCUCGCAGGAGGCUCCGAAGAGCUGCCUCCUUUCAAAAACAUCCCUCCUGCGUUUGAGCCCGGGUAAGGUUCCUCGCGUAUCAU